GACGAACGCUGGCGGCGUGCUUAACACAUGCAAGUCGAACGAAGAGCGAUGGAAGCUUGCUUCUAUCAAUCUUAGUGGCGAACGGGUGAGUAACGCGUAAUCAACCUGCCCUUCAGAGGGGGACAACAGUUGGAAACGACUGCUAAUACCGCAUACGAUCUAAUCUCGGCAUCGAGGAUAGAUGAAAGGUGGCCUCUACAUGUAAGCUAUCACUGAAGGAGGGGAUUGCGUCUGAUUAGCUAGUUGGAGGGGUAACGGCCCACCAAGGCGAGGAUCAGUAGCCGGUCUGAGAGGAUGAACGGCCACAUUGGGACUGAGACACGGCCCAGACUCCUACGGGAGGCAGCAGUGGGGAAUCUUCCGCAAUGGGCGAAAGUCUGACGGAGCAACGCCGCGUGAGUGAUGACGGCCUUCGGGUUGUAAAGCUCUGUUAAUCGGGACGAAAGGCCUUCUUGCGAAUAGUGAGAAGGAUUGACGGUACCGGAAUAGAAAGCCACGGCUAACUACGUG
RNAcentral lists this ribosomal RNA (510 nucleotides) under uncultured bacterium. RNAcentral describes it as "partial 16S ribosomal RNA". It matches the Rfam family "Bacterial small subunit ribosomal RNA", at positions 28 to 507 of the family's 1533-position model. The record is from RNAcentral.